UCCCACAUGACAUUUGAAUAGAAGACGCAGGCGCGAGUAGAGUGAGUGUCCAAACUUGACAUACAUAUCCUACAAUUUUGCAUUCAUGAACUUUAACCAUUGUCUAAACUCUACGCAUGUCAACUCACCACACCUCAGAAGAUGCAUUAUGAAGGCUCCAUGUACCUGCAAAAUAAGUUUCAAAUGGCAUCCAAAACAGAAAAAUAAAAAGAAACCUGUUAAAACUGAAGCCAUUUGUCUACUUUAUUGUCGAGCGAUCCAAUAGGCAGGUAUCAGCCCACUUCUGACUUGGGUACUGCUACCGACAAAAUAUAUGGUAGCACACGCACGUUACAAGACCUCUCAUUACUUGAACAUUGUCCAGCACCUUUUGUAGAAAUUUUUAAUAUGCUAGACGAGAGUGAACGCUGGGCAGGUGGUUCCUUCAAAAAUCUAAAUCUAUUUUCAAUACGAUAACAAGUUCUUUACUUCUUAAAACUCUGUGUUUUUAAAGGUGCUAGAAGCCAAGGUUCCAAAAAGUCUGACGCGUUAGGCGCAUACUCGAGCGAAAUAAGACGCUCUAAAAUGUUAAAGUAUAAAAAAUAUACAAUAUAUUUUUAAAUUAUAUAUAAAAAUAUAAUAUAAAAAUAUUAAAAAAUAUAUAUAUAUAUAUAUAAUAUAAUAUAUGAUGAUAAUAGUUUUAAUUAUCAGUUCUAAGGAUUAACAAUCCACUGUUAACAGUAGUUAUAAUAUUGUGCAAUAGGAAGGAGAAUAGGAGUCACCGACGGUGGAAGAUGGGCAAGACAAGGCGACGGUAACAAAGGUACCUUUGGCCCGUAACAACAAUGGAGGAGGAAGUUGCAGACGACGACAACAGUGACAAAGAAAGCUGCGGACCUGUCCCUUGACAUCGAAGGGAGAUACACACAAAAUAUUAGGCGGUAGAGGGAGCCGCGUACAAAAAUAACAAUGAUGAAGGAGGAAGAUUUGAACCUUUACAUCGACGACGAAGGACUUGUCGACGGCAAAAGAGGAAGAUUGAACCUUUUCGUCAGUUGCAAAGGAAGCAACGAUGAAACCUAGGGUUUGCCGAGCAAGUUGAGGGGGAAGGAGGGUGGAUUUCGAUGUUUACUGUUGGACUUAGUUGGUUCGAUCGAACCAACUAAGUCACUAUUGAAUUGAACUAGAGUCUAAAAGUGGGUUUGACUUGUUGGAUUCAAUCGGGCAAUCGCCCGAGGCGCGUGACACCUAGGCUCAGGCGAGCACCCAAGCCACGCUUCAAUGAAGCGCGUCACCUAGACCCUAUGCGAGGCAUUUGGGCCUCGCUUUGCCUAGCAUGAGCACCUAGGCGAAUGCUCAAGCGCCUUUUAAAAACAUUGCUUAAACUUAGUGAAAACUACUGAAAAAUUUCACUUAAAAGUCACAUGACCAACUUACUUCUCAAGAGAUGUACUGUCAGCAAAUGGAGAAAAUUCUAUUUGAGUGACUAUAAAGAAGAGAAAACUGAACUAUAGCACCAUACUCAAAAAUUGUCAAAGAACAUGUCGUUAAUUUUCAAGUGCUUGUAUAGAGAAUAAAUUUUGGAAAAAUACCAUAUUCCAAUGACAAUUUAAAGGCACUGUACAUUCUCUUAAAUUGUUGGUUUCAUAUGCCAUGUGGUAGAACAACAUGCAAAUGAGCAUUGCAGUUUACAGGUUAAUCUCUCAGGGCCACUUAAGCUCCCUAAUUCACCUAGCUCAUUUGUUUGUAGGGUUAUCCAAAAAGUCCUUGAUUUGAUAUUUGUUUUCUACUUUUCUAUAAUCUGAGUAUCAUUUGAACUUGAGUUCUUUAGCAAUUAGGAAAAACCUAUGCUGCACAAAUAUCUUUUGUUAGAAACUUAGAAUUAUACUGUGUACUUAAUAUUAUUUAUCUAGUGUAAAUAACAUGUACAUGUUUGUCAGAAGUGUGUCAUCUAUAACCACUGAAAGGUUUAGCAGCAGAACAACUACCUCAUAAUCUCAAGCCCCAAACAGCACCAGGAAGGUCAUAAACUAAUCAUAAGAACCAUUGAUUAGAAUCAGCUUAAACAUCUUUAUUCCACUGCUGCCUAACUUCAAUUAGAAAAAUUAAAGAUGGAGUACUAGCAGCAGUUUAUCUCUUAAUAUGGCUAUAACAUUUGAUGAAAUACAUAAUUUCUAACACUUAAGUUUUUGUUACUUCUUAAGGUUACUGAUAGUAAACAAUACACAUCAUACUCAAAAGUGUUGGACCAAUUUAACGGCUAGAAGUGAACAGAUGUACAAGUAUUCACCAAUAAUGUGACAACAUUUGGUGAAUAGAAAAAUACGACAUUCUACAGCUAAUGCAUAAAGUUCAAAUUUCUGAAAAUAAAAAUCAAUUAUAGUAGAAUAAAAUGGAGAAACUAACUAACAAAGAUGAUAGGGUGAGUUGCCAUGUAAAAUUAUUAACAGAAGAUCUUACCAGUUCAUUACCAAUGUUGUUGCCCACAAUGAUGGAUACUCAAGCAUCUUGAAGCUCCAUAUCAUCAAGAAUGACAUAUUUUGCAGCUCUAUCUAUUGAUCUAGAAUAUGUUCCCUCAUUUUCAGUUUGCUGACCUU
RNAcentral lists this long non-coding RNA (2576 nucleotides) under Musa acuminata (dwarf banana). RNAcentral's name for it is "long non-coding RNA (MACU_LNC004214)". The record is from RNAcentral. Lineage: Eukaryota; Viridiplantae; Streptophyta; Magnoliopsida; Zingiberales; Musaceae.